This 471-nucleotide ribosomal RNA is filed under the name uncultured organism. RNAcentral's name for it is "partial 16S ribosomal RNA". It matches the Rfam family "Bacterial small subunit ribosomal RNA", at positions 334 to 797 of the family's 1533-position model. The record is from RNAcentral.
CACUCCUACGGGAGGCAGCAGUGGGGAAUUUUGGACAAUGGGCGAAAGCCUGAUCCAGCAAUGCCGCGUGAGUGAAGAAGGCCUUCGGGUUGUAAAGCUCUUUUGUCAGGGAAGAAACGGUGAAAGCUAAUAUCUUUUGCUAAUGACGGUACCUGAAGAAUAAGCACCGGCUAACUACGUGCCAGCAGCCGCGGUAAUACGUAGGGUGCAAGCGUUAAUCGGAAUUACUGGGCGUAAAGCGUGCGCAGGCGGUUUUGUAAGUCUGAUGUGAAAUCCCCGGGCUCAACCUGGGAAUUGCAUUGGAGACUGCAAGGCUAGAAUCUGGCAGAGGGGGGUAGAAUUCCACGUGUAGCAGUGAAAUGCGUAGAUAUGUGGAGGAACACCGAUGGCGAAGGCAGCCCCCUGGGUCAAGAUUGACGCUCAUGCACGAAAGCGUGGGGAGCAAACAGGAUUAGAAACCCGAGUAGUCCC